Long non-coding RNA from Salvia splendens (bonfire salvia), 542 nucleotides. RefSeq lists it as uncharacterized. NCBI's taxonomy places the organism in Eukaryota, Viridiplantae, Streptophyta, Magnoliopsida, Lamiales, Lamiaceae. The transcript is spliced from 2 exons. The record is from RefSeq and is a predicted model, not a curated record.
UUUUAUUCUUAUAUGUAUGUUCUUCUACAGCAGUCAUGUUCCAAACAUAAUCCUCUCUAACCUCUGCAGCUUGCACCAUCUCUUGUCUAUCUCAACAUCUUCAAAUGCAAGCAAAUCUCCGAAACAGGAGAGCACAACAAAUUCAGAUGCUGCUGGAUACACAAGCUGUCAAAACAAUCCUUCCCGUGGAAAACAGGCAAGAUACAGACAACUCUUCAUUCUUGAGGUUCUUAUCCCGUGCCUUCUUUUUUAAACUGCCACAACUGGAAUCCGCAGAAUCCUAGCUUAACCUAGUCAACUACCAAAGAUGGACCUCUGAGGAAACUUUUCAUACAGAAUUCGCCCUACUCUGGUUAGGAUCCGUCCCUUUUUCUCGAGUAUUAAUCAGGGUGAUUCGGUCUUAACUACAUUAUUAGAUUGUUUGGUUUGCAGUUUUAUUAUUACAUGAAAAAGGCUCGGGCCUGAACUCAUUUCGAGAGCCCCUUAAAAUUGUAACUUGCAAAAUAAAUACAUUAAAUUCCAUAUAUAAAUUCUUUUCUUUA